GAGUUUGAUCAUGGCUCAGAUUGAACGCUGGCGGUAGGCUUAACACAUGCAAGUCGUGCGAGAAAGUAUCUUCGGAUAUGAGUAGAGCGGCGGACGGGUGAGUAACGCGUAGGAAUCUACCUAGUAGAAGGGGAUAGCCCGGGGAAACCCGGAUUAAUACCGUAUACCUCCUUCGGGAGAAAGAAGGCCUCUCUUUGAAGCUUUCGCUACUAGAUGAGCCUGCGUAAGAUUAGCUUGUUGGUGAGGUAAAGGCUCACCAAGGCUACGAUCUUUAGCUGGUCUGAGAGGACGAUCAGCCACAUUGGGACUGAGACACGGCCCAGACUCCUACGGGAGGCAGCAGUGGGGAAUAUUGGACAAUGGGCGCAAGCCUGAUCCAGCCAUACCGCGUGUGUGAAGAAGGCCUUCGGGUUGUAAAGCACUUUAAGCAGGGAGAAAAAGUUAUAAGUUAAUAUCUUAUAACCCUGAUGUUACCUGCAGAAUAAGCACCGGCUAAUUCCGUGCCAGCAGCCGCGGUAAUACGGAAGGUGCAAGCGUUAAUCGGAAUUACUGGGCGUAAAGCGCGCGUAGGUGGUUUGUUAAGUUGGAUGUGAAAGCCCUGGGCUCAACCUAGGAACUGCAUCCAAAACUAACUCACUAGAGUACGAUAGAGGGAGGUAGAAUUCAUAGUGUAGCGGUGGAAUGCGUAGAUAUUAUGAAGAAUACCAGUGGCGAAAGCGGCCUCCUGGAUCUGUACUGACACUGAGGUGCGAAAGCGUGGGUAGCGAACAGGAUUAGAUACCCUGGUAGUCCACGCCGUAAACGAUGACAACUAGCUGUUGUAAGACAAUGUCUUUCAGUGGCGCAGCUAACGCUUUAAGUUGU
This 864-nucleotide ribosomal RNA is filed under the name uncultured bacterium. Its description in RNAcentral is "bacterial SSU rRNA". It matches the Rfam family "Bacterial small subunit ribosomal RNA", at positions 9 to 868 of the family's 1533-position model. The record is from RNAcentral.